RNAcentral lists this long non-coding RNA (4395 nucleotides) under Homo sapiens (human). RNAcentral's name for it is "HSALNT0093186". Lineage: Eukaryota; Metazoa; Chordata; Mammalia; Primates; Hominidae. The record is from RNAcentral.
GAUUGACUUCUUCAGUCACAUAAUUUGGGGAGAUUUGUCAAGGUCUCACAUGAAGGAAGAUGUUCACCCUGAGGACAAGGCCCCUGCAUGCAUUCUCAGGACGUUCAUGUUUUCUUUACCCAUUCCCUUCCAUUCAAAUGGUUGUUGCAAGUAGAAAAUGAGUCACAGAUGUACAAAGACAUUAGAAGGCUGCCUGCAACAUAGAAGCAAAAUGCUCCAGGAGGCUGACCUGAAUGACAUACAUCAGUGAACUCCUUUGGCCUCUGUCAGACCCACCAAAUCAGAAAAUCUUACACUCCUACAAGAAAUUCAUGGUAAGAUGAAAGAGCCACAUCUGGGGCUGGGCACCUGCAGGCACAGACCCAUUCACCUGCCACUUUUGCAGUAGUGUCUUUCCCUCAGCUCACACCCACAUCUCCGUGGGGGCAGGAGCCCCUAGGAUCGGCUGAUGAAGGAGGUAAAAGGCCAAACUUGGUUUACAGAGGGGUUGGCUCUUUAUAUGGGUAUAAGCAGUAUAGGGCCUGCUUACUACAGCUCUGUUCAGGGGUGGUCUGAAAGAAAGACUGAAGAGAAAUUCUUCUAACAAGCAGAGAUCUGGGAAGUGUACAUGUUUAUCCACUUCGUGUGCAAAGAGAAGUGGUGUACAGUAAGAACACAUGUGGGCUCAUUGUCAGUAAAAAAAAAAUGGCUUGUCCAGUUAACCAGAGCCAGGAAGGAGAAAGUUUGGAGGAUUAGGGUUGAAGAGACCUAGGGAAGAAGUGCGUGAAAGCCUCUUUGAGAGAGAUAAUGUGUGACAAGGUUUGUAUCAAAUAUUAAUGCUCAACAGAGAGUAUCUUCCAGGGAAAAGGCACUACAACCCAGUAGGCAAAAGGACCCAGCCAGUUGACAUCAGUCAUUGGUCACUCUGAUGCUAACAAAUGGACCUCACACCAUGGCAGCAGAGAUGGAAGCUAUGCAUAGAUCCAACAGCAUGGGCGCCCUCUUACUAAGACUGAUCUGCCACCCUGUAUGUCCAGCCUUGUAGGAACAUAGACCAAUACUGAGCCACUGAUUCAGCACAUCCUCUGUGGAGACCAACCAGCCACUUGGUGGCAAGAGAUUACAUUGGAACCCUCUCAUCUCAGAAGGAGCAGUGCUUCGUGUUGACUGAAUCAACAUGUGCACCAGAUACAAGACUCCCUUUUCUGCCUGGAAUAAUCUGCCAGUAUGACUCUCAAAAGGCUUAACUCACGGACAUAGGAUCCCAUGUAGCACUGCAUUGGAUUGAGAGAUAGAGAACUCAGUUAAAAACAAGGAGGUGUGGCAGUGGGCCCUUGACUAUGGUAUCCCCUGGCCUUAUCACAUCCUAUGUCACUCAGAAGUUGAGAUCUGAAAGAGUGAAAAAAAAGCUGCUUACUAGCCACUGAGGACCCAGCUUGGAGAUGAUAAGCUGUGAAGAUGGGCGCUGUUCUCCAGACAUAAUAUAUAUGUCCUAAAUCAACAACCUUUCCCUAGAGCUGUGUCCCCAGUAGAUAGCAAGUGCGAGUCUGGAAAUCAAAGAGUAGAAAUAGGCAUAGCUCGGCUUAUAUCACUUCAAGUGACCAAUGUAGGGAAUUUAUGCUUCUUACUACACUCCCAGGCUUUUGUGGUUUAGAAGUCCUAGUUUCUAAAGGGAGAACAUUUCCACCAGGAAACUCAGCAGGAGACCCAUUAAGCUUUAAGCUAUGCUUACUGAAUGUCGCUCAUGCCAAAGCCUAUCAGAAAAGGGAAAUAGCCUUCAUCCCAGCAGGAGUAAUGGGCCCUGAUGAUCAGGAGGAGGUGGGGCUGCUGUUACUCCCUGGGAUUCUCUUGGAACCCUCUUGCCUAAUUUCAACAAAAAAUGGACAAAUGCAGUGGUCAUGGCCUGAGAAAGGCUCAGAUCUUACUGUUGAAGGUGGAGGUGUCCCCAACAGGUAAGCCUCUUAGACCAUCAGAGGUGUUAGCCAAGGGUGAGGAGAAUCUAGAAUGAGUAGGGGAGGAGAGAAAUGAUGUGUGUAGUUACCUUGAAACUGCAGCAUGGGAGUUGGGGGGGUUCUGGGGCUAUAAUUCCUGUCACUGGCCUUCCUCUUGUUAAGUUUACCUAGGAAAACAGGCCAGCGAGAAUCUUGGAGGGGCUGUUCCCAAGUUUUGCUAUAAAAUGAAAGUGAAUCCAAGUGGCCUGGGGCUGAAUCUGAGUUCAUGCUGUGGGCACUGCCCAGAUGCCUUGUCAGAGCUAAGAUCAUUCUCCCAGCUACUGAGAGUGUGGGUAACCUGUGAUGCUUAGCUGAGUCCCUCUCCAGGAAUUGCCUUUAGCAAAAAAUGAGCCACCUCUCUUCACCCAGACCACACUCCCCUCCCCAGGGAAUGUACAGCCCAAUUCAGUGUGUGGUCAGUGCAGAAGCAGAAAGGCUCAAUUUGCCUGCAUCUAGUGAGACAUCUAGGAGGGUUCAUCCUACUCCCUGAACUCCCCAUGGGGUUGACUGAGGCCUUCGUCACAACUUCAUUGCAGUUCAUACCUCCCUUUGCCCCAUCCCACUUCUUUCAUUCUGCAUGGGCAUCGAUCUUGAUCGAGGCCACUCCCCAGAACACUCCCUGCCUGCAUGUCUCUCUCAGGAGUCUGCUGCCUGGGGGUUGGAUUUAAGACACAUGCUGGUCUUCCCCUAGGAGUAAUUUCCCUGUCCACACUUUUGAUCAAAUUUCCUUGAAUUAUCUUAAUUUGAGUGUGCCCUCUGAAUUUUGAUGGGAUCUGGACUGACGGGGCAGGGUAUUGGGCUAGGGACAUGACUGGCAGGUAAGUCUGCCUAAUUCUGAGGCUCAGUAUUAGUAGGACUCUUUACUGACACAUGGAAUUUGUAUUCUCAAACGUACCAAAAUCAGCUUACUAAAGAUAUUUUGGUCUCCACCUUAAUUCUUUGUUUGUUAAAAGUAAUGGCAAAAACCACAAUUCCUUUUGUACCGACCUAAUCAACUAUUCAGAACCUGAAUGGAAGCCACUCCUUGGUGGUUCCCUUAGAAACCUCAGCCCCAUCCAGAGCCCUUGUAUCAGAUUUGGAUGGAAAGGGCAUGUGUUUAGCCCGUUCAAGGGUGACUUUUAGACAGUCCUCUCUCUCUCUCUGUGUGUGUGUGUGUGUGUGUGUGUGUGUGUGUGUGUGUGUGUGUGUAGGUUCAGCCUUUUCUCACUAAGACAGUUAUUUUCACCCAUAGGCAGGCACCCUGAUGGGAGAGGCAGGAUGAAUGGAUCUCUUUGAUACUCAAAGUUUUUUAAGCCAUUGAUGUGUUAUGUGUCUAAAAUAAUAUUCUUUUUUGAAAAAUUAUUGUUUCAUGAUAUGAUUAAUAAAUUAUUUUCUUUGUUAAAUAUCGAUUAAAAAUUAUAUUAAUAAUUAUGUUAAUAAUUAAGAAUUAUAGAUAAGGAUAAAAUUCCUUUUGACUGUUACAGCAGUCCACUCCCAAGAGAAUAAACUGUUACCUUCCAGACCUUUUCAAAAUUGACAGGAUCUAUUUAAAGUCCUGUAUUUUAUUUGACCAGAAAAUUCUAUUUUUCAGAUGUUACAUUUAAGAAAACUUCUUGAAUGUACAUGACAAAGAAUGAACAAGCAUAUUUAUUGCAACAUUGUUUAUAAUAGCAAUAAAGGUAAGCAACUUAAUAGGGGACUAAAUAAAUUGUGGUAUAUUUUUACAAUGACAGAGUAUACAGUAGUAAAAACAGUGAGGUGGAGCCCUAAGUGCUAACUUGGAAAAAGCUUCAGGAAAUAUCACUGAGUGAAAAAGGAGAUUGCAGAAUGAUAAAUGUAAUGUGAUGCAUUUUAUCAGGGCUAUUUAGGAAAAUUAUGGCCUAAUAGAAAUGACCUGGGCUGAGUGAGAGGAGCAGAAAUGGGGAGAGUGAUUAUUGCCCCUCGCUUGCUUUGCCUCCUUUAGCCAUUUCUUCCUGUUCUCUCAAUCAUUCUUUCCCCUCUUUCACUCCACAUUCUUUCCUUUCUUCAUCACUUCUUUUCAUAGUUAAAAUUGAAGCCAAGUCUACCCUCUAGGAAUUGUAUGUGUUUGUGCUCAUUAACAACCAGUUGAACUCUGUUGAUUAGCAAUAUGGUCAAUCCAAACUGGUUGUUAAAGUGUCAAAAUAAAUGGAUCCAAUACCUGCACCCGGGCUCACAUGAUCUCGUUGAUGAAUAAUUAAUAUAGCCUCAAUAUGAUGCAUUAUAUGGAAACCUGCCUGCUUUGGCUACUGUGAAAGCUUAAAAAUAAACCAACCACUUGACAAAGUUACAAAAAAAUAUAUAAAAAAGAAAUUUGCAGUAUGGGUUGAAUGAAUAAUAAAUAUAUAGUGUUUGCAUUAAAGAAAGUACCAGUGGCAUUGUACUUUGUGUUAUUAUUAGAGUGUGUAGAUUAUUUGAUUUGAAGAAU